This is a long non-coding RNA of Pyrgilauda ruficollis (rufous-necked snowfinch), 466 nucleotides long. RefSeq lists it as uncharacterized. The transcript is spliced from 2 exons. NCBI's taxonomy places the organism in Eukaryota, Metazoa, Chordata, Aves, Passeriformes, Passeridae. The record is from RefSeq and is a predicted model, not a curated record.
AGAGGGCGGCUCUGUCCCGGUGCUGCCGGGCCUGCGGGAGCGGAGCGGCGUGAGGGAUUCUGAUGACAUCUUUGUAUUGAUUUCUCUAUCCCUGUGGAGAAGGAAGCAUCUGUGAGGAAUAUACCGAGGAGAAUAUUUCAGUGGUUUUCCCUUAACAGGAGAAGUCACUUUGUUUCUGUUGAGGAAAUAGCAAAAACUUAGUUGCUUCAUGCUCUGAUUUUUCAACACUGCCUAGAUGAGCUGUGAAUGUGCCUUAGCUUCACUAAAGAAUUUUUAAAAGACUUGCAAAGUCAAGUCCUUGCAGUGGAUACUGAACAACUCCAAAGCUGCUGUUAAUGUUGAUGAAAUUGUAUUGAGCAACACCAAAGCAUCCUGAGGGUGUAUGUGGUACAUGAUUCUGUAGAAAUCACAAAUUAGUAUCUAAGUCCAAAGGUUGGUUUAAUAAAGUUGGUGCUCCCUGGAAAAA